Molecule: long non-coding RNA, 1793 nt
Organism: Chloebia gouldiae (Gouldian finch)
Lineage: Eukaryota; Metazoa; Chordata; Aves; Passeriformes; Passeridae
Source: Ensembl
UGUGUGUGCCUCAGAUCCUGAGUCUGGAGCAGUCAAAGCUUUGGUCCAGGCCCAGUUUAUUGCCUUGUGCAUUUAUGUGUGAAAGUUCUGCCAUAGCCCUUAGGAACAUGGAAUUAAAAGUCUGUAGUUCCCUGGGUAACUUCUCGGUGAUGGUUUUUGUGCAAGCCUGGUUUCAGUUGUGUUUCCUCGAAACUGCAGCUCAAAAUCCUGGAUUUUAUGCACCAAGUGACAGACAGACCUCUGUGGAGCCUGCACACAGCUCUGCCAGUCACAGCAACAUGGGAUGUGAGAAACCCAAAUCCAGUUCUUCAAAUGCUCAAAGGAGACCAGCUGUCCCACGAAACAAGAAAUCAUUUGACUCACCAGGCUCCAAGGUCUGUGCAGAGGAGAGGCUUCAUCUCCUUGAAGCCCACCAUGUUCUUGUUUCGUAAGGAAGAAAGCAAGUGUAAGCAAGAGAAGCAUCCCUCCUCCCAUCUCCUCUGGCCUGCUCAGGCCUUUCCACAAGAGAGUGGUGGUGAAGCACCUCUUGAUCAUGCUGGGAACUCUUGGAAAGCAAAUGUGGGGGGCGGUACUGACCAUACCAGGAACUCCUGCUGCCUUAUCAAGGUGGGAGAUGACAGCAGGAAUAAUCAGUCACCCCUGACAGCCUUGGAAUGUUCCUUAUCUGAAAAGUAGCUCAAGUGGAACAGUGCCAUCCUCACUGGAAUUUCAUAAAUCCAGUAAUAACCCAGAUUGCAUGCAGCAUGAAAAUAUGUAAAUGUCUUAAGCCAACCAUCUCACGGCCCUAAAAACAGUGGUCCUAAGACAGACCCUUUGAACUCUUCUGGACUGCAGUGGGCUGCAUGAGUAUUUCCCUCUGUGUAGGACGCCUCUCAGAGUGCUCAGACUCUCAAGUUUGUGAAAUUCAGAGAAAUGUCAAUUCUGGCAACAGAACCUGGAUUGAUAUCCCACUACUUGAGGCUCAACACCCCAUUUCACCCCUAUUAAAAAAUGCCAAAAAGACAUUAGAUAUGAGUCUUUCACUGUUUCUCAAGGGAAGUGUUUUAGUAGAUAUACCUUUGUACUUAUACAUGACAUAUCUGCCCCUCUGUGUGUAUUACCUUUGUACAUUUGCAUACAUGUAUCUGGGGGUGUGUAUUGACUCAUACACCCUAAAAGCAAAUAUAGUAUGCAUGUUAUUAUCUUGAAUCCUUAACUGUUAUUACUGUUUGUAGUUGAUCCUUGGUUCAUCUAACAUUUAAGUGCUUCUAGAUCUUUUAGACAUAAACAAUUGACCAUGUGUGAAUCUAAGAUCGGAUCUAGCCAUGUGUGGGCAUCUCUCUGAGAAGGAGUCCAACAAGCAAGGGAGUUCACUCUGAAUCUCAUGACCUACCAGAGAGUCUCCAUUAACCUUUCCUUCCUUACCCCUUUUUACAUUCCUGGCCUCCAUAUGAAUCGCUCUAAAUUGAUUCUAAUUGGUUCUACUUUAUAUGUACUAUCCAUGCAGUAUUAGAGUGAGCCUUGCCAUCAAGCUUUGCCUGACUUUUGCAUUUGUAUUAAAGUUUGUUUUCAAUAAUAUAUUUGAUGGUGAUCCUUUAAGCAGCCUAAACCAUUCAUUUGUGUGACAGAGAAGCUCUCUCCACAGCUCUGCUGUGUUCCCUGAGGGAAGGAUUGUUUUUCAGAACCUUGUUUUAGCCAAAAUGCUGACUGAAGGCUCACACACAGGUGCUUCUGAAACACCGACAGCUGGCUCAGUUGCUUAAUUGUCCAAUGAUACAGAAAAUAAACAAACCUCCCCUCCUCUGUUUGGCUCA